RNAcentral lists this long non-coding RNA (2177 nucleotides) under Androctonus crassicauda. Lineage: Eukaryota; Metazoa; Arthropoda; Arachnida; Scorpiones; Buthidae. The record is from RNAcentral.
AUACAUCUCGAUAUCACUCGAAUCCAGAAACACUGUAUAUAUAGAAAGCUAAAGUUAGGAUUAGAUUCCAGCGGUCAUUUUUUUUAAAUUAAAUGAUAAAUACGGCUGUUCUAGAAUCCGUUAUGCAAGUAUAUACGUAUCAAACGAACGAAAAAAUACUUGAAAAAAGUAGCUUUUGAAGUCAUCUUCAAGAUUCUAUUACGUAUUAUCGUCUAAUGAAUAUUCACUUGGCAAAGAUCGACAUUUUUAGAUAUUUAAAAUAGCUCAGGGGAACUAUCGAAACCUCUAAUUACGCCUAUUUUAGAUCCAUUUCGGAUUUAUUAGUAUUUUUUGAUACAUCUCGAUAUCACUCGAAUCCAGAAACACUGUAUAUAUAGAAAGCUAAAGUUAGGAUUAGAUUCCAGCGGUCAUUUUUUUUAAAUUAAAUGAUAAAUACGGCUGUUCUAGAAUCCGUUAUGCAAGUAUAUACGUAUCAAACGAACGAAAAAAUACUUGAAAAAAGUAGUUUUUGAAGUCAUCUUCUAGACAGAAAAUAGUCACCGCAGUUACUAGCUAAUGUAAGCUGCAAUAAUAGGUCAAUCCUAGACCAAAUAAGAAUCGAUCUAUCUUGGCAUUAAGCCAAUUCGUACAACAGCUCUUUCACCCUGCUGCUUUUCGUUAGAACAUUAAUGUUGUUAAACAAGUUUGAGUAAUGUUUCAGAUUUGAGAAAUGCCAUUUCAAUUCUGACAGAUUUUUUUAUUUUUAUUUUCUGAUGUCAGCGACAGUGCGAUUAUUCAGAUUGGCGGAGGAGAAAAUCGCAAUUAAUGGAAUUACCUCGUUGAAAAACAACAAUUCUUUCUUAUAUAAAAUUUUCUAUUUUUUUUUUUUUAUAUUCAUCCAUUUGCUUUAUAUUCUGAUUAGUUUUUUUUAUAUAUAUAUGCAAAAGACGGAAAGAUUCUCGAUACGGUAAGAACGUUUUAUAAAUUAAUGGAUAUCAAAAUUUGAUGGACUGUAUCUAAGUUUUCUCCAGAUAAUUAAAAGAUGUACUUUUAAUACUUUUUCUCGAUAAUUUAUAUUCCUCACAUUCAAUCCCUGGAUGAUGUAGUAAAAAAAAGAAUCUUCGCUCCUUCAGAGGCCUCCCAGUUAUUAAUUAACGAGCUAAAAAUGUGUGGCAUAUUAUUACUAUACUGUAUUUUUUUUUCUACACGAAAGAACGACGGAACGAUCGACGUUGUUUAAGAAUAAAAUUUAUGUAGGCCAGGUAAUUUAUGUUGACUCUUUCCCUCUUACUUUUCUUUAAGAAAAAAUUUCCUUCUACCAUUCCUUCACGACUCUUCGAGAAUCCUUGCGAAACACGUUGUAAUUAUUGCAUAUAACAGUUAAACUGAACCCAUCAAGUUUUUUCUUCUCUAGCAAUAAAAAAAAAAAACAGUAACGUGUAUCGAUAACUGUUACUAUAUAUUUGAAGACGUAUAGACAGUAUUAGUUAUUCAUAACUCAAUUCAUGGAUGGUAUCGUUCAAAAACCGGAGAUUUUUUUUUUUUUGCGUAAGGAGUCAAGAAGUUAAAUUCGUGCAUUCGGUCAGUAAUUACUUUCGUAACAUUUCGGAGGAAAUACGUAACGCCCGAGGCCACAUAAUUUGAAAUUUAGCCAUCUAUCGAGUAGAACAAAUCUCUACUCACGAUUUACCCAUUUUACAAAAGACAUUCGAGCACGAUUUUGUGUCUUAUGUUUGCGGAAACACUAGAGUGCUUAAAAAAAAGGUCAAUUUAAACUAUAGCACCGCUCGCAGAUAAGGUGUGACUCGAUUAUUCUUUCCACCCAAUUGUCUCUCGGUCGUUAUUCCUAAAAUCGUCUAGAGAGAGAGAAUUCCAUGUCAACGAAGGUCGAUCGAUAGAAACGGAUUAAGGAAAGUAGUUUAUCACAGCCAUUGGGGAUGCCUGUCUGGACCGAAAGACGCCAUCGAUGCUGGUUCUCAUUUCCAGUUUCCGGAAUGAUUUUGAGUUCAUAAAUUCGAUUCAAGCGGAACAUGAUCCUAAAACUCAUAUAGAAAUAACAGUCACGAUUCAUUUUAUUGUCGUUGUUAUUAUUUUGACGGUUAUUUUGAAAUUAAGAAGCAUCGUGUCCAUACUUGGAAAUAAUCGAGUAAUAAUCGAUCAAUUCAAUUGGGAAUAACAGUCACGAUUCAUUUUAUUGU